AUUGAACGCUGGCGGCAGGCCUAACACAUGCAAGUCGAGCGGAUGAAGGGAGCUUGCUCCUGGAUUCAGCGGCGGACGGGUGAGUAAUGCCUAGGAAUCUGCCUGGUAGUGGGGGAUAACGUCCGGAAACGGGCGCUAAUACCGCAUACGUCCUGAGGGAGAAAGUGGGGGAUCUUCGGACCUCACGCUAUCAGAUGAGCCUAGGUCGGAUUAGCUAGUUGGUGGGGUAAAGGCCUACCAAGGCGACGAUCCGUAACUGGUCUGAGUGGAUGAUCAGUCACACUGGAACUGAGACACGGUCCCGACUCCUACGGGAGGCAGCAGUGGGGAAUAUUGGACAAUGGGCGAAAGCCUGAUCCAGCCAUGCCGCGUGUGUGAAGAAGGUCUUCUGAUUGUAAAGCACUUUAAGUUGGGAGGAAGGGCAGUAAGUUAAUACCUUGCUGUUUUGACGUUACCAACAGAAUAAGCACCGGCUAACUUCGUG
RNAcentral lists this ribosomal RNA (484 nucleotides) under uncultured bacterium. Its description in RNAcentral is "partial 16S ribosomal RNA". It matches the Rfam family "Bacterial small subunit ribosomal RNA", at positions 30 to 507 of the family's 1533-position model. The record is from RNAcentral.